This 335-nucleotide long non-coding RNA is filed under the name Physcomitrium patens. RNAcentral describes it as "long non-coding RNA (PPAT_LNC008641)". Lineage: Eukaryota; Viridiplantae; Streptophyta; Bryopsida; Funariales; Funariaceae. The record is from RNAcentral.
CUUCUCUUCCACCAUUAAGAACCGAGUAUAUGGAUAUCGUAAUGCAAAUUUUGCUUCUGAUUUUGGUGACCAGAAGUCCCCCUACAGUUUAUGCUGAGCACUCUGUUGCUUGCAUGGCAACGAAAGAGACUAUCUAGAGUCGUCACCUUCUUCCCGUUAUUGGCAAUCCUCAACUCUGACCGACGGAUCUCUUUUCCGGCAAUCUUUCUAGCAUCCGCUUAUCUCAUAGUCAUGUGCAGCAUAGACGCAUCACAAACACAUUGAUGUAAAGGACCAUGCAGUUUGUGAGAAACAAACUCUUGAUGAAAUUAUGAUACUCUAUGCUCUUUCUCGUA